RNAcentral lists this transfer RNA (73 nucleotides) under Marophrys sp. SRT127. Its description in RNAcentral is "tRNA-Arg". It matches the Rfam family "tRNA". From Rfam's summary of the family: Transfer RNA (tRNA) molecules are approximately 80 nucleotides in length. Their secondary structure includes four short double-helical elements and three loops (D, anti-codon, and T loops). The record is from RNAcentral. Lineage: Eukaryota; Centroplasthelida; Acanthocystida.
GGAUGUAUAGCUCAGUUGGUUAGAGCAUUUGACUUCUAAUCAAAGAGUCUUGGGUUCAAUUCCCAAUACAUUC